Molecule: long non-coding RNA, 749 nt
Organism: Mercurialis annua (annual mercury)
Lineage: Eukaryota; Viridiplantae; Streptophyta; Magnoliopsida; Malpighiales; Euphorbiaceae
Exons: 2
Source: RefSeq, a predicted model, not a curated record
AAAAGAAGAUGAUACGGGUGGACUUUAUAAGGCUCAAGUUGGAAAUGAUUCUACCCAUCAAGUGGCCCAAUUUGAAGCGUUAGUUAAUAUUAUGGUUUGCAGAUCUGAUAAAAGUUGUCAUAGUCUUUACCAGUCCAAUUUAUAUGUGCAAGAUGUGCUUUCAUAGAGAAAGGAAAUUCAUGGAUGCUGUUUCUGAUGUAAUAACCACCCUAGAUAUACAAAAUCCGAGCCAAGUAAAAUAAUCAAAAUAAUUCUAUUUGAUUUAGCUUGAUAUUAAAACAAAUAAACUUUUCCAUUUAGAUCAAAUUCAGUGUCAGUAUAAUGCUAUAACCCGAACUAAAAAAAAUCAAUCGAACACACUAGUUUGAUUUGAAAUAUUUUAAAGCUUUACAAAUUCAAUUUGGUUCAGUUUUGAAAAAAUUUAAAUUCAAUUUGAUUCCAUUCAAACCGAAUAUACAUCCUCUAAUAUAGACCGACUGGCCAUCAUUGGUUUCACACAUCAAAGUUUCACCUAAGAGCACAACAGAACAUUUAAAGGUCCAUUCACUUCCAAACUCGGAUUUUUAUAUUUAUUAAUUAUUACCAAGUGCUGCAGAAUCAAAUCCUUAAUGAAGAACAUCUACAAUGGAAUCACUAUAUGAAAUGAUUCUUAAAUAAAUAAAACCAUGACAAGCAGUACAGUCCCAGAAUAUCUGGUUUCUUAGAUAUACAAGAGUCGAACUAACAAACCAAACUAAAUCAAACAGUAA